This 651-nucleotide ribosomal RNA is filed under the name Barteria fistulosa. Its description in RNAcentral is "eukaryotic LSU rRNA". The stretch from base 247 to 402 matches the Rfam family "5.8S ribosomal RNA". Lineage: Eukaryota; Viridiplantae; Streptophyta; Magnoliopsida; Malpighiales; Passifloraceae. The record is from RNAcentral.
CUGCCCAGCAGAACGACCCGCGAACAUGUUGUCAAACUAUCGGGAUGCGCCGGGCACUGCCGCGGCGCUUCUCGGGGGUCGGGUGCGGAUCGGCGGGCCUGUUCCGUCGCCCCGUUCCCCUUCCCCCACGAACAAAACCCCGGCGCACGAUGCGCCAAGGAAUCGCAACGAGAAAAGGAACGAGCACCCGUUGCGCGCCGGGAACGGAAUGCGCACGGGCGGCCUCGUAUUCUUUGAAAACAAAACGACUCUCGGCAACGGAUAUCUCGGCUCUCGCAUCGAUGAAGAACGUAGCGAAAUGCGAUACUUGGUGUGAAUUGCAGAAUCCCGUGAACCAUCGAGUCUUUGAACGCAAGUUGCGCCCGAAGCCUUCGGGCCGAGGGCACGUCUGCCUGGGUGUCAUGCACCGUCGCCCCCCAUCCCCACUCCCCCGAGGGGAGUCGGGAAGCCCGGGGCGGACAAUGGCCUCCCGUGCGCUCUCGCUCGCGGUUGGCCUAAAUCCGAGUUGUUGGCGGCGAGCGCCACGGCAAGCGGUGGUUGGAAAGACCCUCUGAAGUGCCGUGUGCCGGCCCGCCACAAGGCUCCGAGACCCCUGUCGCUCUAUGUCGCGACCCCAGGUCAGGCGGGACCACCCGCUGAGUUUAAGCAUAU